AUUGCUCUUUCCGUUGUCCUUCCCAUUGAUCCCUCUCACUAGUGUAAUAGUUACUCCUGAACCAAAGCACCUCUUUGGAGAGCACCUUCCCAUUGAUCCCUCUCACUAGUGUAAUAGUUACUCCUGAUCCAAAGCACCUCUUUGGAGAGCACAGGUAAACGCCUUCAGUUUUAAGAUAAAUGUCCCUAGGAAGGAAUGGUUGUGGUAGUUGUAGGACAUGUAUGGUUAUUUCCAUGAUCGAAUGAAGGGAUUGGUUUACUUCGCUUCCCCUGAAAAUAGGUCUGGUACUGAUCACUCUAUUGCAGCAGGGUGCUAGGGGAAUAAGGUUUUAUAAGUAAGAUUAAGUUCCUUUUGUUCGAAGUCAGUGUGUAUAAUAGGUUGAGGAACGAGUUAAGUUAGAGAUUAUAACAAGAUCCCCCUAUGCUUAAGAGAAGCGCGUGCAAAUGAGAUAAACGAGGCUGGGUAUGUGAACAAGGUGCCCUCAUACGUUACAUGAGGCUAGAAAGUUUUCAUGGAUUUCCUUUAUUUAAUAUAAGAUUAUUCCCCAUUUUAGUACUAUCACAGCUGCAAUCAUCGAUUGUAUAAAGAAUGCUAAGUUUUCUUGGAUCGACUCCGUUACUGCAAGCUUCAAUUGCUUAAGAAGAAAUUGUGUUCAACUGUUAUCUUAUCACUACCCAAUUUUUCGUUACAAUUUGAGGUUCGAACUGAUGCUUCUAAGCUAGGUGUUGGGGCUGUGUUAAGUCAAUCUAGCAAACCAGACGCGUUUUUCAGUGAAAAGUUAAAUGAAGCUAAGCGUAGCUAUAGUUUUUAUGAGUUCAAAUUUUAUGUUAUCAUUUAAACAAUUAAGUGUUGGUGCCAUUAUUUAAUUCAUUUGGAAUCUAUGUUGUUUAUAGAUCAGGACAGUCUCAAACACAUUGGAAAUAAAGACAAGAUGAAUGCUCGUCAAGUAAAGUGGCCUAACUAUAUGCAAGAGUUUUACUUUGUUCUUAAACAUAAGGCUGGCGUUCAAACCUGUCAGACGGAUUAAAUCUUCGAAGAAGUCUUCUAACCUCUCUUUGUAUCUAGGUAACGGGAUUUCAUUCUUUUUCAUAAUUAUAUUGAGAUGAUCAUUCUUCUCUCUUAUUUUAGACACUAUCGAAGCGGGAAAAAGAUCCCAGUUCAUUUUUCUUAAUGAGUUCCUCUUCAAGGGCACACGAUUGUGUGUAUCUGAAUUUAGUUGGCACCUGAAUGACAUUCAGGAAUUACAUGAUACGUUUAUCGGUUUCAUGGUCUUCCGGAAACUAUUUUUUUGGCCCGCGAUUCCAAAUUCUUAAGUUAUUUCUGGAUAUGUUGGUGGAAGUUACUACAUACAAAUUUAAAUUUUAGUAGCACAUAUCAUCCUCAAACGUAUGGCCGACUGAGGUUGUGAAUCGUUCUCUUGGUGAUACAUGGGUUUAACCCUUGCGCUGCCUUGAUCUUGCCCUUGUUCCUGACUUGGAGCAAGUGCAUACUAUUACUGAUGCAUUAGUUCAAAGUAUCCAAGAGAUUCACGGUGCUACUCCCCAGAACUUGGUUGCCUCAUCUACGAAGUAUAAGUCCGUUGCAGAUCAACAUCGUCGCCAUGUUUUUGUAUGAAGUACGUUGGUGAUUUUGUUUGGAAAAUGCUUACUAAAGAAUAUUUUUUAGAUGGUACCUACAAUAAAUUGGGUCCUCGAAAGGUUGGUCCACUAGAAAUCAUUGAAAAUAUCAGUUCUGAUUAUUAGAGCACUGCUCGGUCGAACUCGCAAGCGUUGCUAUCUCAAGAUUGUUUGUCAAGUUUAGUUGCUAAAACUAUAAGUCUUGAUUUCUAGUCUACUUAUACCAAUGUCUCGAU
Long non-coding RNA from Papaver somniferum (opium poppy), 1852 nucleotides. RefSeq lists it as uncharacterized. Lineage: Eukaryota; Viridiplantae; Streptophyta; Magnoliopsida; Ranunculales; Papaveraceae. The transcript has 3 exons. The record is from RefSeq and is a predicted model, not a curated record.